UGGUGCUGUGCUCUGAUCUACUAACACGGCCCUACUAACCGGUUUCUUCUCUUACUAACCCAGCCCUGCCGAGCUCUGGGC
Molecule: long non-coding RNA, 81 nt
Filed under: Meriones unguiculatus (Mongolian gerbil)
Lineage: Eukaryota; Metazoa; Chordata; Mammalia; Rodentia; Muridae
Description: Myocardial infarction associated transcript exon 5 conserved region 2 (ENSMUGG00000013753.1)
Rfam family: Myocardial infarction associated transcript exon 5 conserved region 2
About the family: MIAT (myocardial infarction associated transcript), also known as RNCR2 (retinal non-coding RNA 2) or Gomafu, is a noncoding RNA. Single nucleotide polymorphisms (SNPs) in MIAT are associated with a risk of myocardial infarction.
Source: RNAcentral